Molecule: ribosomal RNA, 598 nt
Filed under: Escherichia coli
Lineage: Bacteria; Pseudomonadati; Pseudomonadota; Gammaproteobacteria; Enterobacterales; Enterobacteriaceae
Description: partial 23S ribosomal RNA
Rfam family: Bacterial large subunit ribosomal RNA
Source: RNAcentral
UGAACUCGCUGUGAAGAUGCAGUGUACCCGCGGCAAGACGGAAAGACCCCGUGAACCUUUACUAUAGCUUGACACUGAACAUUGAGCCUUGAUGUGUAGGAUAGGUGGGAGGCUUAGAAGUGUGGACGCCAGUCUGCAUGGAGCCGACCUUGAAAUACCACCCUUUAAUGUUUGAUGUUCUAACGUUGACCCGUGAUCCGGGUUGCGGACAGUGUCUGGUGGGUAGUUUGACUGGGGCGGUCUCCUCCUAAAGAGUAACGGAGGAGCACGAAGGUUGGCUAAUCCUGGUCGGACAUCAGGAGGUUAGUGCAAUGGCAUAAGCCAGCUUGACUGCGAGCGUGACGGCGCGAGCAGGUGCGAAAGCAGGUCAUAGUGAUCCGGUGGUUCUGAAUGGAAGGGCCAUCGCUCAACGGAUAAAAGGUACUCCGGGGAUAACAGGCUGAUACCGCCCAAGAGUUCAUAUCGACGGCGGUGUUUGGCACCUCGAUGUCGGCUCAUCACAUCCUGGGGCUGAAGUAGGUCCCAAGGGUAUGGCUGUUCGCCAUUUAAAGUGGUACGCGAGCUGGGUUUAGAACGUCGUGAGACAGUUCGGUCCCUA